Molecule: ribosomal RNA, 490 nt
Filed under: uncultured bacterium
Lineage: Bacteria
Description: bacterial SSU rRNA
Rfam family: Bacterial small subunit ribosomal RNA
Source: RNAcentral
UCACUUCUGGAUGGACCUGCGGUGCAUUAGCUUGUUGGUGGGGUAACGGCCUACCAAGGCGAUGAUGCAUAGCCGAGUUGAGAGACUGAUCGGCCACAAUGGGACUGAGACACGGCCCAUACUCCUACGGGAGGCAGCAGUAGGGAAUCUUCCACAAUGGGCGCAAGCCUGAUGGAGCAACACCGCGUGAGUGAAGAAGGGUUUCGGCUCGUAAAGCUCUGUUGUUAAAGAAGAACACGUAUGAGAGUAACUGUUCAUACGUUGACGGUAUUUAACCAGAAAGUCACAGCUAACUACGUGCCAGCAGCCGCGGUAAUACGUAGGUGGCAAGCGUUAUCCGGAUUUAUUGGGCGUAAAGAGAGUGCAGGCGGUUUUCUAAGUCUGAUGUGAAAGCCUUCGGCUUAACCGGAGAAGUGCAUCGGAAACUGGAUAACUUGAGUGCAGAAGAGGGUAGUGGAACUCCAUGUGUAGCGGUGGAAUGCGUAGAUAU